UAUAGAUCCCGAAGCACCAGAAGGAGAAUAUUUGGAAUUUUCAGAAGGACCUUCGGAGUUCGAAGAAGUUUUUGAGUUAGUUUCCUGUGAAGCCAACCCGUCAGAGAAUACUAACUUUUUAAGCGAACAAGGCAAGCCCCGGUGCAUUUAUACCUAUCUAUUUUGGAGUCGUUAUUUCAUGUGUCCAAUUAUCGGUUAUUUGCUAUAUGUAUGCACUAAGUCUAGGAGUUGCUUGAAA
This 238-nucleotide long non-coding RNA is filed under the name Setaria italica (foxtail millet). RNAcentral describes it as "long non-coding RNA (SITA_LNC003952)". The record is from RNAcentral. Lineage: Eukaryota; Viridiplantae; Streptophyta; Magnoliopsida; Poales; Poaceae.